RNAcentral lists this ribosomal RNA (924 nucleotides) under Triticum aestivum (bread wheat). RNAcentral describes it as "partial small subunit ribosomal RNA". Lineage: Eukaryota; Viridiplantae; Streptophyta; Magnoliopsida; Poales; Poaceae. The record is from RNAcentral.
AUGGGGCCGGUGUCAGGAGCAUCAGACAGCGUUUCAGGAGCAUCAGACAGCGUGGAAAUGAGUAGGAAAAGGAGAAAAAUCUCCUGGCCGGUGGACCUGAAGUGCGUGGUUAUUCGAGGCCGUGGAGAUUGGGCGUCAGAGCCGUGGCUCGAGACCUGCGCGAAAUUCUGGUCCGUGAUUCAAGCGUGGAAACGACUAGAACUUUUGAUAGAGGAAGUGAAUGACAGCGACAUACCUAUGGAGCCUCUUAGCCAUCCGGUUCUAUCGAUGCCGGGCGGGGAGUUGCCGGCAGCCAGUGCAACAGGUGCAGAUGCGCUCAUCUGCUCGGCGACUGCUGUGGGAACAGGCGAGGGUGCAGACCGGCCACAAGCAUCUGAACACUCAAUAGAACAAAUUAGUACAGUUGUUGAAACUGGAUUCAGCACGCGGAUGCAGGGUCCAGGUGAGAAUGUCAUUGUGCCAAAAAUAGGGAUCAGCUUCGAUACACUUGGAGAGGCAUACGAUUUUUACAAUUUGUACUCCUGGGAGAAAGGACUUGGAAUCAGAUAUGGGAAGAGCAGACUAAAUGUCAACAGGACAAAGUGCAAGAAGUGUGGUGUUGAAGGGCACCGCAGGAACAACUGCCACAAAGCGGCUGAGCUGAGGCUUAAGAUCUCUAAAGAUUGCUCUCUUGCCCGUGUCGUUCCUGUUCAGGAAGAUGCAGAUUCGGAGCCUUCGGUGAAUCAAGGAGCAGAAUCCCAGCUCAGCGAACCUGACGCUUCAAUUGUUUCUUCGGUUUCAGAGAAUGCAGGGGAAGCAGGCUUAGAGACGCAUGCCGGUGAGGUAGCAGUCAUGCACCCCGCUGUUGCAGAUGCAGUAGAGGGGUGCGGCAACCAUGAUCCCGAAGCUGGUUGGAAGAUGGUCAACACUUCAGAUGCUGAGUAG